AGGAGAGGAUUUUGAAUGCGAGUUUUUGUGGAUUUGUAGUAGACUAAGUGAAAAAAAAUUAGAGACAAAUCUCAUGUGAUUUAAUUAAGUAUCAAGGGAGAUAUGGGUCGUCGAAGUUGUCGGUGUCUAAGACUAGGGCAGUGAGGAUUAGUGAAUUUCGGGGCCUUGGUUCUUAGUGGCCACUUGGACUUUUUAGGCGAAAUUCAUUGGGUUUUGUUUCUAAUAAAGUUAAGAAUACUGUAUCCAAAUCUCAAGUCCAUACAACCUGUGAGCUAGGAGAUACAAAGAAAUGAGUGAGAAGGGGUGCAGAAUUUAUAGCUGCAGAGGGGGGGGGGUAACUUUGAAAGCUUGGUUCUCUUAGAAUACUUAACCUUUUUCAAAAUUUCUUUUUGGAUUUGAUUUCUUAUCUUGUCUACUCUAACAUGUCCAAAACUGAAUCUCAUAUAUACUCUAGUUUAGGAGUUAAGGGGAAUAAUAAAUUCGGGAUUUUGAAGGCAGUGGGAGGAAAGAAUAUAUAGUGGAUUUUUAGGGUUUUUAGGGUCUGAUUUUAGGAUUUGGAUGUGUUAAACGACGAUAGACUCUUCCUUGGUCAUUUAGUUGCAAAAAUGACCCAGUGUUUCCUGUAGCAAGACCUCUCAAUGUGACAACAGAACAACUUGAAACGGAAUCGAAGCCUCCGUAAUCGGUACCUCAUUAGGGUGCACAACCAAUUCAGAUCUUAUACUAAGUAAGGGGCCCAUGUGAGGACUUGGAUUGGAUGGCCCUGUAAUUUGGUCCAAUUGGCCCUUCGCUUCAGGAUCACCCAAAUGUUGAAUUGGUCCUUUUUUCUUUUGCUGAUUUCUUGCAAGGACAGCUUGGAUUACUUCUACCUAGUAAAUUAGUGAAUCUUGAGGACCUUGAUUUAUCUCGUCUAUUUUUCCUUGGCUUUAGAUCUGUUGAUCUCGAUUAUUAAAAUUGAACGGUGUAUUACAUUGCUAAUAAGUAUGUCCUCACUGCUCACAAUUCACACACACUGGCGCAUAAUCGUUACUAGUUCUGAGAUUGGGACAUUCACUGGCAUAAUAAUCAAUCUGUUUGCAACGGAAACAAUAAAGUGGUCUUCUUGCACCUCCAUCUGGCAUAUUGGGUGUCUCCAUCGGUAUGUAGUUACUAGGCUUGUUCUAU
Molecule: long non-coding RNA, 1164 nt
Filed under: Physcomitrium patens
Lineage: Eukaryota; Viridiplantae; Streptophyta; Bryopsida; Funariales; Funariaceae
Description: long non-coding RNA (PPAT_LNC010751)
Source: RNAcentral